Molecule: non-coding RNA, 238 nt
Organism: Pelobates cultripes (western spadefoot toad)
Lineage: Eukaryota; Metazoa; Chordata; Amphibia; Anura; Pelobatidae
Source: the annotation of a GenBank genome assembly
GCCCCAUAUACCAAACCAUAGAAGGGAACAGGCACGAACAAAGCCUUUCCAUAGUGCUGAACCAAAAUAUAACACAUGGGCCAUAGUCCUGAGGUAAGAGGCUGGCCAGCAGGCCCCUCCAAGAACCUGUGACGAGGUUCAGUUCACCACAGUUGUCAAUUUGCAGUGCAUGCUGACAACAGAUGUAAUUUAUGCACAGAAUUGACAUUGACUUCUGUUCCGGGCUGCCUAAGUCACG